GAGUGGUUUAAUUUUCUUGCGUAAUGAAAAUUUAUUGAGUACUUUCUGAGUACAUAGCAUUGGGCUAAGGACUACUGAUGUAUGAUUUAAUUCAUUCAUUUAUUCAACAUGUGUUUAUUGAGCGCUGCUGUAGGUGUUAGAAUACAGUAGUGAAAAAAAAAAACAGAUAAAAAUCCCUAUGCUAUUGGAGCUUACAUUCUAAGGGGAAGAGACAGGCCAUAAAAAAGUAAACAUAGUAAGAAGUAAAUCAUAAAGUGUUAGAAUGUGAUAAAAUGUUACUUAAAACUAUUUUAAGUAAGAUGGUUAAGGAGACUCAUCGAGAGAUGCCUGAAGAAGGAGCAGGAGUUUUACUAUGUGGAUACUGGGAGCCUCACAUACAGGCAGAAGGACCAGCCAGUGCAAAGGCCCUGAAGUAUACAAGAUGUAUCUGAGAAACAGCAAUGAGGCCAGAGUGGUCUCAGCGAAGUGAAGUUGAGGACUAGGCAAUGAGGUCAAAGAGAAAAUGACCUUAUAGGUCAUUUCAGGACUCUGGCUUUUACAUUGAGUGUGAUAGAAAGCUACUGGGGUGUCAGGGGCAGAGGAGGUAUAGGAUUCAUAUUAUAACCAGAUCACUCCGGCUGCAGCAUUGAGAAUAGAUCAUAGGAAGGCAAGGGUGCAAGGGAGAAGGAUGCAAGAGAAGAGGCUCUAGUGGGAAUCCAGGGAGAGCCCCAGUGGCUUAAACGAAGAUGGUAGCAGUGGACAUGGAGACAUGUGAAUAUAUUUUAGAGAAAAAUUCAGCAGGAUUUCCUGAUGUGUUGUCAUGCGGUAUAAGAGAAAGUGUGGAAUUAGUGACUCUAAGGCUUUUGUUGUUAUUGUUGGGUUUGGUUUGGGGUUUUUGUUUGCUUUUUCAUUUUUUCCUGAGCAACUGAAAGGAUAGAGUUAUUUUCCAGAUGGGAAGAUUGUGGGUGGAAACUGUUUGGGGAAGAAUAUUAAAGUUUGCUUUCAGUGACUUGAGUUUGAUCCUCAAGCGAAGCCAUCUAGGAGGCGUUGGACCUGAGCAUUUGGAGUUGGGAGAGGAAACUAAGAACUGGAGAGAAGAUAUCAGAGGCUUAAGGAGAAUGGAUAAGAAUCCAGCCAGGACUGUGAAGCCCCAGGGAAUGGCUGCACUUGAAGUCAGAAGGAGCCUGGGUCCCUGAAUCAUCAUGUGGAAGGCUCUCCACCCAGUUCAAUGGUGCAAUGGACCACAAGCAGGAACUUAAUUUAGAAUGUGCUUAUUUUGUUAGAUUUUGUAAUUAAAAAAUGGAUCCCACUCUG
This is a long non-coding RNA of Pan troglodytes (chimpanzee), 1293 nucleotides long. RefSeq lists it as uncharacterized. The transcript is spliced from 3 exons. NCBI's taxonomy places the organism in Eukaryota, Metazoa, Chordata, Mammalia, Primates, Hominidae. The record is from RefSeq and is a predicted model, not a curated record.